RNAcentral lists this transfer RNA (54 nucleotides) under Meloidogyne paranaensis. RNAcentral describes it as "tRNA-His". Lineage: Eukaryota; Metazoa; Nematoda; Chromadorea; Rhabditida; Meloidogynidae. The record is from RNAcentral.
UUAAUAUUGUGAUUAAAAAAGUUUUUGGCUAAAUUAUUUUUUACAUUAUUUUUU